This 460-nucleotide ribosomal RNA is filed under the name uncultured bacterium. RNAcentral's name for it is "partial 16S ribosomal RNA". It matches the Rfam family "Bacterial small subunit ribosomal RNA", at positions 338 to 795 of the family's 1533-position model. The record is from RNAcentral.
CCUACGGGAGGCAGCAGUGAGGAAUAUUGGUCAAUGGACGAGAGUCUGAACCAGCCAAGUAGCGUGAAGGAUGACUGCCCUAUGGGUUGUAAACUUCUUUUAUAUGGGAAUAAAAUGUUCCACGUGUGGGAUUUUGUAUGUACCAUAUGAAUAAGGAUCGGCUAACUCCGUGCCAGCAGCCGCGGUAAUACGGAGGAUCCGAGCGUUAUCCGGAUUUAUUGGGUUUAAAGGGAGCGUAGGUGGAUUGUUAAGUCAGUUGUGAAAGUUUGCGGCUCAACCGUAAAAUUGCAGUUGAAACUGGCAGUCGUGAGUACAGUAGAGGUAGGCGGAAUUCGUGGUGUAGCGGUGAAAUGCUUAGAUAUCACGAAGAACUCCGAUUGCGAAGGCAGCUCACUGGACUGCAACUGACACUGAGGCUCGAAAGUGUGGGUAUCAAACAGGAUUAGAUACCCCUGUAGUC